This 1419-nucleotide long non-coding RNA is filed under the name Marmota monax (woodchuck). The record is from RNAcentral. Lineage: Eukaryota; Metazoa; Chordata; Mammalia; Rodentia; Sciuridae.
CUUUGUGGGCUCCCCCUCCAGUACAUUCUUCUUCAAGCCAUGAUGGCAAGGACCCCAUUCUUGCUGCCUUCUCUUCUUUUCAUUCUGUGCUAUCUCCCUAGGUGAUAUCUAGUAGAAAACUCCAGCCCAGCCAGGUGCAGUGACACAUGCCUGUAACCCCAGCAACUCAGAAGGCUGAGGCGGGAGGAUCACGGAAUCCAACCUCGAAACUUAGUGAGACCCUGACUCAAAAUGAAAAAUUAAAAGGGCUAGGGAUAUAGUUCAGUGGUCAAGGGCCCCCACGUCCACAUCCCUAGUUCCAAAAAAGAAAACUCCAGCCCAGCCUGUCCUUCUGGCUUCACAUCUGCUUCUAUCCAGGUAGCUGUUCCACAUCCACCCAAAUGUCCAGUAACCUUCAGAGACAGAGCUCUUCUCUCAGCCUUCAUCCUCCCUCCCAGCAUGCUCACCUGGCUGCUCAGGCCAGAAAUCAAGCCCCUCACUCUUCCCUUUCUCUCUCUGUACACCCAGCCCCUCAGCAGGUCCUCUGGGACUCCUCCAAAAGACACCUACAGUCCAUGCCUCCUUUGCUCCUACUCCCCUCAACGAGGCCAUCCCCAUCUCCCAUUUUGACUACUGCAAUAAUUCCCUCCAUGGUCUCUCUACCUUUACUCUUGUUUCACUUCAAGCCAUUAUGAAAACAUAAGCUAGGUUUGUCACAUUUUAUUUAAAAUCUGCCAAUAGUUUUUCAGGUUAUCUAGAAUCAAAUCCAAGUUUCUUGCCACAGUUUCACAAGUUUCUGCAUGAGCCUUGUCCUUUCCUUAGAAACUGCUCUUCAGUCACACUGGCUAGUUCCUUGAACAUGGUUUCUUUGCCACCACAAGGUCUUUGCUCAUGUCCAUACCCUGAUGGGAAUGCUUUUCCCUCACUUUUUACAUGACUGACAUUUUAUCCUUUAGGUUUUAGUUUAUCUCAGAGACAUGAUAAGUGAACUACUGUAGCUAAGAAAGAGGCCCCAGCCAGCUCAGCCCCUUGUCUAGUUCACAUUGUCUUAUAUGUGGGCAGCAGCUGAGCAGCACAAGGACAUCCUGGAUGUUCAGUUUUAUUUAUUUGUCCAUUGGUUGGUUUGGGAGUUAGUUGGUUGGUUGUUUUGCAGUACUGGGGAUUGAACUCAGGGGUACUUUAACUACUGAGCUACAUCCUCAGCCAUUUUUGUUUUAUUUUAUUUUAUUUAUUUUUUAGUACUACAGAUUGAAACUAGGGGCACUUUACUAGUAAGCUACCUUUCCAACCUUUUUUUUUUUUUUCACUUUGAGACAGGGUCUCAUUAAGUUGCUGGGGCUGGCUCCAACUUGAGAUCCUCCUGCCUCAGCUUCCCAUGUUGCUAGAGUUAUAGGCAUGCACCAACAUGCCUGAUCUUUUUCCCUCUUCUUUAUUAAAACC